This 342-nucleotide long non-coding RNA is filed under the name Fukomys damarensis (Damara mole-rat). RNAcentral describes it as "lncRNA (ENSFDAG00000024625.1)". The record is from RNAcentral. Lineage: Eukaryota; Metazoa; Chordata; Mammalia; Rodentia; Bathyergidae.
GGAGCAGUGAUCUUCAGUUCAAAGUCACAGCUGGCCCAAGGUAAUAAAACAGCAGUGCACGGUCGUAAAGUUCUUGCGAGAGUGCUGUGGUCUCCUGAAGUGUGGGACAUGCCAGGUCAUGGACACUCUGACAGCUUAUGGACCAAAGUAUCUCAAAGACCAUGGCAUCACCCAUAACAGCAGGACUUGAAGAAGCAGUGGUGAGAUAUAGGUAAAAAGACAAGAAAAUUAUUCUCCCCAUCCCAGCUCCAACUGGAUCUGAUACUGUAUAGGAUCUUAGUGCUUAGUAGCAUAGAGAGUAUUAGUCCCUCUUACACAGGACUCCUUUAUUAUGUACACGAA